Molecule: ribosomal RNA, 458 nt
Filed under: uncultured bacterium
Lineage: Bacteria
Description: partial 16S ribosomal RNA
Rfam family: Bacterial small subunit ribosomal RNA
Source: RNAcentral
CCUACGGGUGGCAGCAGUGAGGAAUAUUGGUCAAUGGGCGAGAGCCUGAACCAGCCAAGUCGCGUGAGGGAGUACUGCCCUAUGGGUUGUAAACCUCUUUUGUCGGGGAGCAAAAGCCGGACGUGUCCGGCUGUGAGAGUACCCGAAGAAAAAGCAUCGGCUAACUCCGGGCCAGCAGCCGCGGUAAUAAGGAGGAUGCGCGGGUUAUCCGGAUUUAUUGGGUUUAAAGGGUGCGCAGGCGGAUUUUUAAGUUCGCGGUAAAAUCGGGGGGCUCAACCCCAUCCAGCCGUUGAAACUGGGGAUCUAGAGUGUGCGAGAGGUAGGCGGAAUGCGUGGUGUAGCGGUGAAAUGCAUAGAUAUCACGCAGAACCCCGAUUGCGAAGGCAGCAUACCGGUGCACAACUGACGCUCAGGCACGAAAGCGUGGGUAUCGAACAGGAUUAGAUACCCUUGUAGUC